Marmota monax (woodchuck) is the source of this 38224-nucleotide long non-coding RNA. RefSeq lists it as uncharacterized. The transcript has 2 exons. The record is from RefSeq and is a predicted model, not a curated record. Lineage: Eukaryota; Metazoa; Chordata; Mammalia; Rodentia; Sciuridae.
UUACCCUUAUCAUUUUAAAAGACUUAUUGUUUUAGCUUUUAUUCACUCUGGUUUUAUUCUUUGCUCACUGUUCUUUUCUAGCUGUUGUCAUAUAUAAGAGUCCCAGAUUUAUAGUAAUCCUACUAUGAAUUCAGUGAUACCUUCUUUACCUUGAGUUAAAGCAAAUGUGCCCAUCAAAAGAGCAAAGUGUCCAAUGAUAAUAGCUGGAAAUUGAGUCACAAAUAAAUGGAAAAUGGUUUCUUCAUUGCUAUUUGUGUGUAUGUGCUGUGUGCUGCUUUUUUCUCCAAAGGAGUAGACUGUUAUUCCACGUUAUGGAGUUGUGCUAUUGUGAAAUUCUCCAGUGAUGGAAAAGGAGAAUAAUGUCUACUAAACCUGCUAGAAUAUGAGGCAAGGGGAUCUUUUUCUGUGCCCAAGUCAGAAAACUGUUUCCCUUCUCCUAUUUUAGAGCAAUGUGUUUUAUAUCACAGAGUAACUUACUGUCUUCUCAAAUGUUUAUCUCCAAAUUACAUUUUAUAUUCUAGUCACUCACAAGAUGAAAACAGGAAAUGUAUUUGAGGAAAGGCAAAAUGUCAGCGUGUCUAGAACAUAGAAAUACUUGGUGAAGAACUUUUGGCUUUCUUUUUGGCUCUGCCUACAGCCAGUCAGUGUCACUCACUGUGUUCAGGUCUCUCAUUAGUCAAACAGGGUGGCUGGGCAUUUCCUGUGAAAUUGCCAGUGUGAGAUUGUGACCCUCAGGGGAGAGAUCCAGGAGGAGAAGGAACCAGACAGCUGGCCUCUGGGAGCCACCAGAUGGGAGCAAAUUCCCAAGGCCGAUGUGAAGAACUGUCUAGAAUGACACAGUUGUUUAGUGGAGGAGCCCUCCCUCUAAAGCCAAAUGUUCUGUGUGUCCCUGCAAGCAGAGCAAAUGAGUACACACUGUGUUCAUGUUGAAAAGGACAAAUGACUGUACAAAUAGAGUAAUAAACAAUUUAAGAAAAUAUAUGUAGCCUAAAUUUAGUAUCAAGGCAGUAGGCAAAAUGACUUACUCCAAUUUGUGAUGGUCCUGUUGCAAAAGCAGUGGCAAAGCCAGUUAGACCCUAAUCAUGGAAUAUAGCCAACGUAUCAGUGGAGAUGGCGCAAGUGCAGGCUUUUCAAAUAAGAUAAAUCAUCUGUGAAGAAGGAAAAGGUCAAUGUAAUAUUCUUUCCCUGUCUCUCUGUCUCUCUCUCUCAUCUGAAUUAAAUGGAAACAUUAAAAUUCCUUCCAAGACAAGAAAAAUCAGCACAUAAGAUAAUGCAGUCUCCUUCCUACCCAGCCAAGUCUGACUGCAUUCCACCUGAGCCUUGCCUUGGUCUUUUUUAUUUUCAUCCUAGAAUAAUUUGGCUACUUUGUAGAAAAUCAGAAGUCUAAUGCUAACCUCACACCAUUUAGUCAUGCAUACCUGAGCCAUUAUCUUCUGCCCCGGAUGACAUAGAAGAUUGGUUUUUCCAUCUUUCAGAUCGAACAUGGUGAGUGCACACACCACACACAUACACACAUACUCAUACUCUUUUCUCACAGUUGAGGUUACGUAUAUGCUAUCUGUGAGCAUCCUUCAAUCAUUCAGUAUCUGUGGAACACCUAAUAAUUUUGUAUCACAUUGCUUGGUGUGUGUAGGAUACAGACAAGAAGAGGAAAGGGAAAAGACCCUAAGUGGAGUGGUUGAGAGGAGACAUGCUUUCAGUUUCCAUGCAGUAUGUAUUUCUUAACUUUGACCUAUACUUUAUUCUUACAUUUAUUUUGGUUUAGCAUCUAUUCAUUCAUUUAUACAGGGGUGUAUUUUCCAUGAAUAUUUUGGAAUGCCUCCUAUGUGCCAGGCAUUGUGAUAGAUUACAGAGGUGUGGAAACAAAUUAGAAUCCUUCUCUCCAGGAGCUUUCAAUGUUUAUAUUUAUUUGCAAUAAAGGUUUAAAGAUACUAGCAUUUGCCUGCCUAGGGUGUAGUUGGAUCACAAAAGAAGGAACAUCGUUUCUGUUGCUAAGGGUUGAGAUUUGCAUUACUGAAAAGAGAUCAUUAAACAGUUUUGAAAGAUGAGUAAGUACCAUAUUUGUCAGGGAGGCAAGAAUGGGGGGCAUUUUAGGGAAACACAGAAGAUGCAUAGAAAGCCAUGGAGAUUUUAGGGAACUUCUAUAAUGUAGUGGAGGGAUGGAUCUUUUAAAAGAGUCCAGGCUGGAGAAGUACAAAGUACUAGAUCAUGGAGACCCUUGCAUACCAUUGUGAAGAAUUGGGACUUUAACCUGUGCACAUCAAGAAACCAUGAACAGAAUUUGUACCAUAGCAAAGAUUUAUUUCUGACAGAAAUGUGGAAAACAUGAAUUAAGAUAGGGAUCUCAAUUGCUUGGCUGUUUUGAGGGUGUGAUCCAUAGAUAAAAGACAAAGACAAAACUCAAACCAGGAGAAUAGACCAUAAAAAGAAUGCCAACCUAUUAUAUUCAGCAACUUAUGGUUUAGUCAACAUUUAAGAAAAAACAGACCUACAAUAUUAAUAAAAUAAGGUGUUAGACACUCAUCCCUUAAAUUUCAUGUAUAAGAGGAAUGCUUUAUUUUAUUAAGUAAAUUAAUUUCUGAUUUAAAAAUUCAUACUAAUUACAAAUUGCAAAUCAUUCAAGGAAUCAUGAUCCUUUCUCAGUCUCUUUACAUUGCAAAAUUUAGAGAGUGACCACACAUAUAGAGGAUGUCAGGGCUCCAGAGGAUUUCAGAGACUAUCUUCAUCAGUGAUUUUUAAGAUAAAAUCAUUGUCCAUGUCUUCUAGCAGAAGCUUCCCUGGGAGCCCCAAUAUGCACGGAAGUGUUAGAGGUGGACACAGGCUAUGCCCUCUGCCAACAUUCCUCAUUAUUCUGCCCAGCUCUGAAUUACACUGGCACAAUUAUAAAACUUAGCUUGGCAGACCUUCUUAUUUCACUGGGGGCACAAAGGAUAACAGAAUGGGAGAGACUGAAUCACCCAAGGAGGCAUGACUAACUGGUUAGUUAAUGGUAGAAGAAAGGAUUCCAGGUCAUCCUGAUUUUUUUAAUCAAUUUUGAUUAAUGACUUACGGUUACUAUCAUUAAGGAUUUGUUUUCUCUCCUCUUUUUAUUCUAAAUGAACAUGCAGCGAGUUGACUGGAAGGAGUGAGCUCAGUUACACCCAAUGCCUCCAUUUUUUCUCAUUGAUUAAUCCUUUCAUUUCAGUUGUGGGAACCUCAAGACUAUGGGUUCAUAACCUCUUCCACUAAUCAUUUUCUGACCAUAUUUUCCCUACCCAUCUCUGCUUUCUGUACUUUUAUCCUAACACAUAUUACUCUAAGUAAUCAUUGCUAGUUUGUUGUUUUUCCUCACUAGACUGAGUGCUUUAGGCCAGGAAACAUGUCUUUUUAUCCAUAGCAUCUGGCACAAUCCAUGAUAUGCAGUAAAACAAUAUAAAAUUGUUUAAUAAAUAAUCAGAUAAAGAUAUGCCUCUAACUUUGGCAUUGGGAUAACAUAAAUGGGGGAAUUUACCUUUUGUGCUUGUCCCCUGCUUUGUCAGGAACACUUUUACCAUCUACUAGUGGACCUGCUUCUACCUUAGGUGACAGUCUUACCAAACCAUGGAUUUCAAAGGAUAUCCCAGACACUGUGAAAUGACUUCAAGACACAAAAUUAUCUGUCCUGAAAUAAUCUACUAUAAACCAUUAUUAGCACAGAGAUUGAGCAAAGUAUAAAGUCUUUUUUUCCCCCUAGAUCAGCAUUCAGAAUUAGGGUUUGGACAUAGUAGGACACCUGUGUUCUCACAGCUGUUAAAAAGAAGAAAAACUUUCAUAUUGAAUUUCAUUGAACCUUGCAGCCAGCCUCAGUUCCAUUAAUUUUCAUAUACAGGAACAAUGUAACAUGAUUACUCACCAGCCACAGAGAUAGUGGUUUUAUAAAUCUUAUGUGGUAGUUGCUGAAAGAGAUAGGGUUGUGCUCCCAUUGUCAAUACUAUCCAAAAUUCACCUUGGAAAUGAGUGGCUUUGGCUUUUGAUACCAGCUGAAUGUAUAUUGGGUCACUAGAUGUCACUUGGAUUAACAUUUCUCUAAUUUUCAGAUCAUCUGAUGAGAAAGCAGUAAGUUUUCCUCACUCUGGUGGUAGCCUGCCUCUUUCCUAGAGAUGGCUCUUUUAAUAAGGGAAGUUGGCCUCACUCUGUUAUUUAUGGAAGUGCACCCAUGCCUGGUGCUUUCUGAUGGCUUGGUUGCUUAAUCCUGUUUGAUUUAGUCCUAUAGUGUUUGGGAGAGGUCAUGGACAGUAGCUUCAUUGAUGUGAGUCACAUUCAAAUUGCUAACAACCUGAUUAUGUAUAUGACAUUAAUGAAGGAAAACCUUUUAUUCCUGACCUCUAGUCACUCUUCCUCUUCAGUGUCUAUUGAUGAUGCUGUGAUCUUCAUAGUUUAAAUUAUCAUUAAUAAAAGGAAACUCAUACUGUUACUGGUAUGUGUGUGAAUAGCCUAUGGGGGAUUGGUUCUGGUUUUAGUUUUAUACUUUUUUUUUUUUUUAGAUAGGGUCUUGCUAAUUUGCUAAGGCUAACCUUAAACUUGUGAUCCUCCUGACUCUGUCUCCCAAGUCAUUGGGAAUACAGGUAGGUGGCACCAGUUCCAGAUCAGUUUUAUACUUUUGUAGGUCACCAUUAAUGUAGUGGAUAUACUCUUUUGUUGAGUAUCCAACUCUAGGGCUUCAUUUACAGAAAUGGGCUUCAUUUACAGGAAACGUUGGCAACAGUAAAGAGUAUUAUGUAUAUUAACUCAUUUAAUGCUCCCAACUAACCUGGACUACUUGAGAGAUUAAGUAACUUGCUUGACGUUACAGACUUGGGAAAUAGAAACCCAGAUCCUAAUCCAGCUGGCCUGGCUUCCAGUCUUGAGCUAUGCUCCAUGAUAGCAUGCUGACCAUGGGUGGAACGAGAACAGGGUCCUCUGCGGGUUCCGAUGAUUCUCUUUUAAAACUGUCUCAUCUCAGAAGUUAGCAUCUUAGUCAGCAGGCUUAUUACCCCAGAAGGUCCUGUGACUCUGCCUUGCACUCUGUAGGCAGCUGUCUGGUGUCUUUCUUGGCUUCUGGAGGUGGCAAGUUCCUCUCCUCAUCAGCCACCUCUAAGAGGUAGGGAUGAUGGCAGGAUUUUCCUGCGAAAGAGAAACUCCACAAGGAGGAGAUGGUUGUAUUAUGCUCAGUCUAACACAACUAAAAGACACCAAGGGAGCUCCUGAACCCGAUUGCCCAACAUGAUCUUACUUUAGUUUCAUUAUCAAUGUUUUUCUGCUGUUCCUUUGAGUUUCAGCUUAUCCAUCUGUGAAUGGAGAUAAGAAAAUCUACCUCCAAAAGGUCAUUAUAAGAAUUAAAUGAUAUCAAAUUUUAAAAGUACUUCUGUAGAAUCUGGCACAUUCCAAGGGUUUGAUGAAUGUAUUUUUUCCUUUGCCUUAUCCAAAGGAGUUUCUGAAAAGAAAAUUGAGAGUGAGUUUUGGGGAUUUUUUUUAAAAAAACAGGUUAAAAAGGCCAAGGCUUCUGUGGAUUCUCUCCUCACCUGUCUCUCCUUAGAAGUCUUUUCAUUUGAGAACUGCUUGUUUUUUUAUGGUUGCAUAAAUGUAUUAAAUUUCUGGUAUGUUAGGUGUAAUUCUAUCAGUAGUCUCCAGGUUCAAACCCUUUUAGGAAAAUCCUUCCAUAAAGAGGUUGUUCUUCUUUUUAAGUAUAUUAUUUAUUAACUUACUUCUCCUGAUAUAGUAAAAUGGAUCCUCUCUACAUAUUACACCACUUUCAACUGAGGGUGUCCUAGCUGUCAUCAUUAUGGUUCAGUUCAUCCCAUUUGGGACUCCAGUAAUCCAUUAAAUGUUUAUUAAUUUUGGAAUUUUAAGAAUAGGCUUUUGCAAGUGGUUGCAGUCUGGUUUUGAAGCAAGGAGAAAAUGCUCUAUUUGUUAGCCCCUGGUUAGCAGAGGUGAAUAAAGACCAUAGACCUAAAAGACUGUGUGUUUUUUUUUUAAAUUCUUUUGUCAGGAAAGUCACUUUGCUCCUAAUUAGAAGAUUAGAAUCUCUUUAAUUGCAUUCUGACCAGAGACUUUGGGGGUUCAAUUUGGGAACUUGCCAUAUGUUUCAUUUGAAUGAAUGCAUUUGAGAUGAACAUUGUCUUACUGAAGCUGCUAUUCAUGAAGCCCAAAAGACAGACUUUAGUAUAGGUUUUAUUUCCUUAUUUGAAUGUCAAACUACUGUUCUCAGAAUGGAUUUUUAUAUGCAACAAUAUGCACUUAAUUUAUUAUGUAUUUAUAAGACCUCACUAUAUCAUGCUGUCUGUAGAGCAGAAUUCAAAAUAAGGCAGUGCAAUCUUGGAUCUCAUGCCAAAGAGUCUGUUUCUUGAUGAAUUAAAAAAGCUUUGUAAUAUAGGUGGCCCUCCAUAUCAGCAGGUUCUGUAUCCACAGAUUCUGUCAACUGUGUAUCAAAGUUGUUUUUAAACACUGAUCUGUACGAACAUAUAUAGACCUUUUCCUUGUCAUUAUCCCCAAACAAUAGAGUACCAUAACUAUUUACACAUCAGUUACAUUGUAUUAUAUUCUAUAAGUAAUCUAGAGAUGAUUAGAGAUGAUUUAAAGUAUAUGAGAGGAUGUGUAUGAGUCACAUGAAAAUACCACACCGUUUUAUUGAAGGGACAUGAAUAUCUGUGGGUUAGGGUAUCCACAGAGAUCCCUGGAACUAAUCCCCAGCGGAUAUCAAGUAAGAAACGUACAGUUUUGAUAUCCAUGGCAUAAAGUCCUCAUGGCAGGAUUUAAGUGUGAGCUUAAUCCAAGCAGGUCAAGCAGGGUGAAUAAUUCUCCAAUCAAGAGUAUUAAAAUUACUGCUGAUAAUCAAGCCUUUUCACAAAUAUUCAUUCUUCUCUCUUAGGUAUAGGCAGGAAGUUCUGAGUGUAAGUAAACUCUAAAUUUACUUUAUAACUUUGUUUUAGUAUACAUAAUAUAAAGUAAGCAGAAGAACUCAGGAGGAUGCUAUCUGGUUCCUUGGGUGUUAUAAAUCCUGAGAUUUAAUUGACAAAAUGAUGAAUUUCUAUUAUGCCUGCAUUCAGCCUUGAGGGCCUAAAGGCAAUAUGAGGCAGUUCAUUACUAGCACUAUUCUCUGUUUUACAUUUUUGUUCAUUACCAGCAACUUCCUUAAUAUUUAUAGUUAUAUAAUGUUGUGCUAGUAGAUGUUUAUUCUCAACAUCUCUGACUUCAGUAUCCAACAAACAUUUGUUAAAGUCUAAUGUGUGCAAAUCAUGCUAUGUAUUUCUUAAGUUCCCAAAAGAACCUAGAUUGAAGUUUGGGACUAGGAGCUUGCACGAUAUUAACAGUCUCUGUUUGCAGCUCCUCAAUGGAGUUGUAAGGUAGGAUAGAAAGUAUGCUAAGGGGGACUCAUAGCAUGCUGUAAGAAUUUCAAUGAAAUCAACUUGUGUCUUGUCUUAUAUUCCAUCUGAAUUGCCUUUCUCUACAAAUUAAUAAGCACAGGACUGUGAAAACCCAACAACAGUAGUGUUUUACCAGUUGGAAAAAUGAUGAAUAAUAAACGUUGCACAUUGGAAUCAGUGAGAUUGAAGAAGUUCCAUUGUGUCUUUUUUCAGAGAAUUUAUAUCAUCUAGCUUCCUGUUCAAUCUCAGGCACUGUAGAUGGAUAGACGGUACAUAUCUGAAGAAGUUCACAAGUAUUUACUGAAUGAAAAAACUCAUCACUCAUUAUUCUCUACAUGAAUCCUGAAGCACUUAGGGAAUCCGAAGUUUGGGAAGGUUCUGAGCAAUCCCAUUACAGGUCUCCCUUUUAUGUACCAUUGUAAAUAUAAAUAAGUUUACUCAUUCUUAAUAAUUUUUAUUGGUUUUCUGUGAUCUCUCUAGCUUUUCAAGGUAACUUUUUAAACUUAUGCUAGCCAACAUAUGAAAUACCCUUUCCAACUGUGAGAUACAUUAUAUUUUCCAAGUUUAUCCAAGACCUUGGAAAGACAUUAAAACAAGAGAGCCACAAACAGAACUUCUCUAUCCCACACUGAAACUCUCCUACUAAACAACAUACUUUCCUUCAUUCUACAAGUAUUUCCUGGGCAAGGAUUCAUCUUUAGGGUGUUAGGAGGAAUUAUUCAAAGUGCAAGGCAUUAGUUAUCUAGUGAUGAAUACAAUAGAUUCAACCCCUGUUCAUACAGGGCAUAAGGUCUACACCUAAGAGGAAGCAUUUGUUCAAACAGCUAAAAAAGCUCACUUCUCUCCUUUUCAGCAAUGAAAAGAAUGACUUCCCUGAAUAUCUCCUAUCUUUUUCUGCCAGUCUUUUCUCAUGCUGCUCUCAGAGUAAACUCCUUUUUAUCAUUUUUCUGGCUCUCAUAACCUUAGGCAUUCAAAAGAGGCCACGUAAAUGUUACCAGCUCCAAAAAUCCCAUCCACACCUGUGAGAUCUUUUAACAUGUGGCACCACUUAAGUUGUGCUCAUCACUCACUGAUUUCUACUGUCAUUUUUUGAAAACUUCUCAUAUAAACUCACACUCCCCUUUCCAACACAAUGAUGCCUUUGAUAUUAUUGUAUCCAAACUAAGCACAGUGACUAUAUUUCAGGGAGAGUGAAUCUAGACCCCUUUUAUUCUAGAAGAAUAAAGAUGUUUAGUAAGAGUGCAUAUGGGUCUCAUUCACCAAUAAUCAUUCAAGGUCAGAGAAAUCUCAGAUUGACACUAGGUCUCCUAACUAUUCUAAUUCUGGAUGCAGAAAACCUCCAGAAGCUUUUUUUUUCCUUGAAGAUUCAACUCAUAGACCAUUUGAAGCUUUGGACAUACAAUAAGGCACAAAGAAAUAUUUUCAUGAUAAAAGUAAAUGGGGAUGGGUCUGGGGUUCAUGAAUUGGUCAGAUCCGAAUAACAAAUUACUAGGUGUUUCUUAUCUGUUUACAUGCUCCGUGAUUUCUAACAGUAUGAAAAAUUGCAUUUCAGAGUCCUAGAUAUUGAUUAGGCAUUUAAAGAGUACAAAGUUCAAAGAUGCAAUAACUAGAUGAUUGCUUCUAAAAUCCAACAGGGUUUUUUGGAUGACACAAGAGUGCUUAAUCAUGUUUUUUUUUUCCUCUUUAAGGACAAAGCCAUGUGGUUGGUCAAUAUUUUCAUUCCCUAAGGACCCAUGGAAUUAUGAUAGUUUAUCUUCAUAGUCACCCAGGCUCAUAUUGGCAUGGAUCAGGUAAUGCAGUUCACAUAGCAAAUAGGCCUCCUUUGUUAGAUACAGGGGUGGAAUCUGACGACUGAACACGUUUUUCUUUUAAAACAGGCUCCAUAGGGAUGGAAGGGAGGAAACAAAUGUAACCUGCGUUCUCCUUUUGUGUUAGACAUGGUACUUUGUGCUCUGCAUACAUCAUCUCAUUUAACCAACAAGCCUUUAUAGCUACAGCAAAGAAAACAGUUAUGAAAACUUAAGCCUCUUGCUUAAGAUCAUGAGCUAGUAAGUGGCAGAGCUGGUGACCUGAAUUCCUGGUUUCAAGCCUUAAAUAAGGCUUUCACUCCUAUGCAGCAUGGCAGCAUACCAGAGUAUUUAACAAUUAUAUUUAUGCAAAUGUAUUUAUGAAUAUGCCAAGAGACUAUGAGGAGAACAUAUUGACAUUGUUGCUUUUUAGGAAAGAAGACUAAAUUCAUUUCAAACAACCCAUGUUCACUUCACCUGGAGCUUCCCUGAGAAAAACGGGUGGCUCACUCUUGGUCACCAUGGUGGAGUAACAGCUGUCCACUAGGCAGAUAACAAAUGAUAUUUCAUUCUUUUUUCCUGCUUCUUAUGAGAAGGCCACGGUGAACUUCUUUGUAUUCCUGAUUUCAUCCCUCUACUGUGAGAUAGCGUUGUGUUUUUCUGAAAGGGUCUUGUACUGAGCCAGCCUCAACAAUCCAUUGAGAAUGGACUGUUGGCUCUGUCACACUUACCUGAAGCUUUUAUGGCUCUACUACUGAUUAAGAGGUGGAGGAAUAUGAAUUCUCAGGUAAUAGUUUGCUGUAAUCAACACGUUAGUUAUGUUGUCCAAAAGUCUGCAUCAGUAAUGUACCUCUUUAGAAUCUAUUUAUACAUUGAAUUUCUUGUCCCUGGUAUUGGUAAUUUUUGGUUUAAUAUGUUUUUUAAAAGAUGAGAUAAUAAAAUGUGAUGAAACUUUAUGAUAACCUUUCUAAAUAAUCUGCUUACAGAAUUGUUCAAAAUUUCUGUCCUCUCCUUAUGAAUUUCCUUCCCUAAAUAGAUGCAUUGAUACAGGUUCAUGUCUCCAUUUCUCCCCCUGCAGAUUCCUCUCCUUACCUGUCCUCCCUCCCAGCUUUCUUGCCUUCUGGCCUCCCUUGCCUCCCUUUUUGGCCAGGACUGGUAUUGGGAUUUAAUUUGGUGUUUCCUCCUCUAUUGUUGCUGGACUGAGGUCCACUCACGAGCUCCCAGUCACCUCCCUCUCCACUCCUGUGGCCAAUGUUCCUUCCAGCUCCAUCACCAGUUUUAAAGAUAGUCUGAACUUUCUUGUCAUCCUUAGUGGUUUUUAAAUCACCCACUUUCUAUCUGACCCCUGUGACCUGUCAUCUGCCCUUUCUACUCAAAUGAAGUAACUUUCUGAGGAACCAUCCGUAACUUCUGUUACAGAGUCCAAUCAAUACUUAUUUUCUGCAGCGCUUGCUGUUGCUGGGUACCCACUCCCUCGAGUUUCUUCUCUCGUAGCUCUGGGGCACUGUACCAAUGUUGGUGUUUGUACACUCACGCUACAUUAUAUAUGAGUAAAAAAGAGCAUUUCAAAAAUGAAAUGAUUCAGUGGGUCUCCUAAAAAGGUAGCCAGAAUAUGUAGAUGCAAGUUGUCAGAGUUAGUAAGCUCACCACCAUAUCACAUAUGAUGUUGAAAGAGGAGAAAGGAAAAGCCAAACCCCGCAGUCCAUACCAUUAAUUAAAAGAUGCUUUUUUCUUCUUUAAAUAUUAAGGAAUAUUAAUAGAUGUGUGAUGAUGUCUUGAGAAUAACCUCAGUGGCAAAGAAUAUAUUGAAGUGUUUCUUUGGAAAAAUGUCUUUCCAUUUCCUGUGGUUAUUCCAAAUGUAAAAAUCGGCACCAUUUCCUGAAAAGGUCAUGUGAGUGUUCUAUGAGGCCUGAUUGGUAAAAGAUGAUAUGUCCUGAAAUACUUGAAACUAAAAAUUUUUUUUGUGUCAUAUCCUUUUUGUUCUUUGGGUAUAAUCAGAAGUGUCAACUUUAGAAGAAUAUUAUAAAACAAAUAUUUUAUGAUUACAUUGUUUUAGUUUUAUUUGAAAAGAAAAUUGUAAAAUGCAAAGAGAAGACCCACGUUCACUGUUAAUGAAAAUAUAAGAAAAUACAUCAAUUUUGUGUCUGCCAUAUCAAGCACCAGUAGGAUAGGAAGCUAUGAAAAUGAAGGCAAUGACUACAUAGUAACACUCGAUUUCAUUAUUUUAACUCCUGGGCCCAUCAUCAUUUUGUUUCUUCCAUCCUAGUAGAAUCAAAGGUGCAGUCAUUUUUGUGAAGGUGUUAUUUUCAUGACAGUGUAGACUAUACCAAAUAGGUACUUUACCUGCCACAUCUGAAGCUCAUUUACAAACCAUAGUUCCCUCAGAAGGAGUGUGUGCUUGACAUAGAUUAACAGAUAUUUGACAAAUGAAUUGGUACAAUAAUGGUUUAAAUCACAAAUUGGCUUUUUGUUUUGGUUUUUUGUUUGUUUGUUUGUUUUGGUACCAGGGAUUGAACUCAGGGGUACUUGACCACUGAGCCACAUCCCCAGUCCUAUUUUGUAUUUUAUUUAGAGACAGGGUCUCACUGAGUUACUUAGUAUCUUGCCAUUGCUAAGGCUUGCUUUUGACUUGUGAUCCUCCUGUCUCAGCCUCCUGAGUCAUUGGGAUUCCAGGUGUGUGCCACCACACCCAGGCCACAAAGAGUUUUUUACAGACAUAAGUUGCUUCAUUAAAAACGACUUAUAAUGUAGCCAUCAAAAAUAUGGCAAUCACUCUUAAUAGAUAAUAAGCUCUAUUAUGGACAGAAAGUGUGUUUGUACAUUCAACUAUUAAAGAAAACUUAUUUCUGGUGAUUGGAUAGACAUAUUUGAUUUUUCAUUCCAUCUUUCAGAAAAUGAAGAUGCUACUUGUCUUUCAUCUGACCUUUCAAAGUCAGAUGGAAUAUGGAAAAUCCAGCUGCAUUUCCAUUGCACUUUUUUUUUGCUUGGCCAUUUUCCAUGGUGGGUAGGUGGUCUGUGUCUAGAUUUGAAAAAUAGCCCAAAUUGCUUAGUUUUUCCUAAAGUUUAAUACUUAGAAACAGAAGUAGCACCCUCUAGCAAAACUGUUACCAGGAACACAGUAAGCUUUUCAGGGUUAUUUAUGAGUAAGAGAUGAAUAGCCUUGUCCUCGCAGUGAGAGAAAUAGAGUGGAUCCCAGUUUGCUUGUAGCGCAAGAACACUUGAUGAGAGAGAACACUGGUAUACAGGGUUUCAAACACAAGAGAGCAAACCCAGAGGCACUCCUGAGUUUGCUUUGUCCUAUGGGCUCAAAAUAAGUAUAUUAUGUUUAAUUAAUUCUAAGUCUGUAAGUGCUGCUCUAACAAUGUCAGCAGUCCAAGUUAAAGACAUUUGAGGUGAUGUUUGUAAUCAUGAAAAUGUUCAUAUGCUGAUGACAUAGUAAUAACAAUUUAAAAUAAAAGAAUACUUAUGUACAGGAAAGUAGUUCUGUGGAACAGAAUUAGAUCAAGGCAAGGUUGCAUGGUGGGCAUUUAGUCGUGAAAAUAUCAAUCUGUACCUAAUGAUUGCUGUGAAUCAGCCUUCAAACCCAUUAGAUGUGCCAUUUAACCAGGCAACAUAUGCCCAUUAUUUUUUAGCAGAAAAAGCAACGGCCAUAUGUUCAAUAGUUAUUGAAUUGUGACUAGCAGGUGUGCUUCACCAUAAUAACAAUGAUGACAAUAAUAAUAUCUUCAGCCUCAACUCUCUCCAUAGUAAGGACAAAGGAGGAAAAGCAAUAAUUAUUUGAAGAAUUUGAGUAUUGUAAGAAGCCAAUCUAGAUAUUUUAAAGCAAAUUUCACUUUCAAUAGCCAGCAGUCUUCUUUCUUUUCUCCUCCUUAGUUUGGAUAAUUUUCUUUGAGUUCCAUUUUACUCCUUUACCAACAUUAAACCUAUACAAUUUCAUCUCAUGUUAUUGAUUAUGUUCCUGUAUAUUUGCAAUGGUUCCUCAAAAAUUUUUAUUUUUACUUUCACAUAUUGCAGUAUUUGACCCUCAUAGCAACUGUGUUGAAGAGGUAGAAGAGAGACAUUGUUGCUUGUUUUCCCUUUAAAAAGCUGUGGUUCAGAGAGGUUAAGUGACGGUUUCUACUCCACAAAAAGAAAUUUGUUGCAAUUUUUCUGGUGAAGCUGUCAUUCUUAGAGAUAGUAAAGUGACCACACUAAUAGAGUGUUACACAUGUGUCACUGUCACUAUUACUCUGCUGGAAAACAUAUUGUGUCAGGAGGUCAAGAACAGGAAGAGGAAACACAGAUUGAUAAAAUAAGAGCUGUGCUAUUGAAGGAACACUUAAAGCAUGCACCAGGUAGGUUCUAGAAUAUGAUCCCCUUCCCUUUAGCUGUGUAUUUCAGUACUGAAUACAUCAUGAUAAUUUUUUUAAAGGGCAGACUAGUGUUAAACCAUUCAUAUAAAGUGUCAUGUUGGUACAAUAUAGAAUGGUUUACAUAAUUAAUAGCACAUCCCUCUGUAGGCUAACUAGAAGAUACCCAUAUUACCAUAGGGGAAGCAAUUUUUGGUAUUGUUUACUCACAUUUUUUUAAUUAAAAAUUUAUAAAUGGAACUUAAACUCAAGGAGAAAAAUGAAGAAUCAAAAUAACAAACAAAAUUUCUAAUUUUUCCAGGAAAAUUUCCUUCCCAUAUAGUAGCCAUCACAACUGCAGCCAUGCAAUCCACUGGAGCCAGUCUUCCAUGCAUCUGAAGAUAUGAUGCAGGACAGGAGGUACAGUUUAGCCAAGCUUUGGGGGGAAACUGGAAUGAGGAAUUUGACAUCCUUGGGCCUUUUCCCUUUUUUUGUCUUGAUGGGCAAACACUUUUCCUAAGUCAUCCUUGUGAAAAGUCCUGGACCCAUAAUGACCAUUUGUCAUACCAUAAAUCUGAUGCUUCAUCCAUGUCUGAUAGUACUCUGGUGGUCAUUUCAGGUUACAGAUUUCACCUUUAAGAUUUCUUAAAGAGAAGUCUGACAAUUCAUCCUGUCUUAGAAGAAGAAAAAUCAGGCACCUCUUUUCAUUAGGAUGUGAGCCAUGUUAACAGCAGCUUGUUAUCAGGCUUGGCAUUUCCCAAGGUUAGAGGCCACAUAUGGCCACAUAUGAUACAUACUAAAAUGUGUGUUUCAUCUCUUGCAUAAGUUUGGAGUGUAAACAACCUUGAAAUUGAGCUUGGAGGAAAAGAAAUACUUGAAAAGUAUUUAUUCUUUUAAAUACGAAUAUAACUUAGAACUUAAAAUAUGUUCUAUCUUAAAACAGGUGGCAGAUCGCUUUUUAUUUCUGUGCAUAGGGAGAGAAAUUGGGGGUGAAGGGUCAGGAAAUGUUUCUUUUUUAUUGAUAUACACAUUUUAUCCUUAAAUCAGAUAAAAAUCUCCCAUGAUAACUUUCAAAGUGCACAGUACUUGUAAAAAUCUGGUUUGAUAAUUAUUGCAAAAAAAAAAAGGAAAAUAUAAGAUCUGAUAGACUGGUGACAUUCUGUACAGCUUAAUACUAACUUGUCACAGAAUAUCUAAUAUUCAGCCUUCUUUUGGAUAUUUGUACUUUUUUCUUGUAAAUUAUUUACACUGAGACAAAAAGUCAUUGGUUUUGAACUGAACUUAAUUUAGGCAUCUAAAUGAUAUACCUGAACACAUGCUUUGGCCCUGCCAUGACUUUUUAAUGACUUUUCCAUUUAACUUGGUUUUGAAAAUUGAUUUGCCCUUUAAAAAUAAUAUCAGCAUUUAAAGUAAUUUCACUUGCUUUUUGUCUGUGCUGUAACUGAAUAUGCUCCCUCAGAGCAUGACUUCAAAUAGGCAGCUCUUAGGAAGAUGUGACAACUGCUGUGCAUCAGCUGGAAAUGGCAACUCUGAUAACAAGAAUGUGAACAUGGCUUUGGGGUGAGGCAAAAACAGAGACCAUUGAAAGUUGACUUCAUUGGCUUGAUGUGCAGACACUGUAGGAAAUUGGGGGUGAUCUCUGGGCACAGCCAUCCUCCUGAGCUAUGCAUGCUGUAGAGCUGUCUGCUACAUCUUCACAGUUGCUCCUUUGCUUCUUUCUCUGAAUAUCUGCCUCUUUAUCUAAUCCCAGGUCAUUGCUCUUAGCUCUAUUCAUGGGGGAAAGGUAGGGAUUGAGGCUGACGGGCUUAAAAAUAAGUGUCUGGAGGUCACUUUUGCCCAUCUUUUCAUUGGGUCUUGUUCUGUCUCUCCGCUGAUAAGCAAAUUCAUACCACUCAGCAUCCUGGUACUUAAGACAACAGCAAUGAUGCAGAAACAGAUACCCAAAGUAGCAAAUUAGAGCAGAUAUAUGAAAUUUGUGAUGUCGUGAAUACUGAAAACACUGAGCAUUCUCAGGGCUCUAGCAUCAAUUUAGAAGAUAUUACCAAGUACCUGUCCCUGCUUCCAAUUACUCAUCUAUAAAAAUGGAGAUAUAAUUCUUUGAGAUUUCUCUUAAAGUAGCAGUAGGUUUAAUUGGGAGACACGGAAGAAUCAUCACAAUGAUCUUAAAAAUAGUUUUGAUUAUGUCACUAGGAAAGAUACAUGUCUAAUAGGGUGCUAUCAUCCACUAGCCCUGACCUUUCAGCAUCACUGCAUCUAUGUUCUAGUGUUCAGGAUCUAUAUGUCAUGUCUUCAGCAUAUAUCUUGUGUACAUAAGGGUGGUAAGAAAGUUUAGAUUCAGGGCUAGAUUUGUAGCUCAGUGGUAAAAGCACUUACUUAGCAUGUAUGAGGCACUGGAUUUGAUCCUCAGUACCACAUAAAAAUAAAUAAAAUAAAAGUACUGUGUCCAUCUACAACUAAAAAAUGAAUAUUAGAAAAAAAAGAAAGUUUAGAUUAAACUAAAAAUACCUGUGGGCUUAUCCUAUGCAACUAUGUGCGACUACUAGCACUACCUGGAAAAUUAAUUCUAUUUUACCUUCUUACCUACCCAUGGGCAGCUCCCAAGAAGUCCUGCCUCUCUCUUCCAUUCCUGAUUAAUCCAAGAUUCAAGUCGGGCAUCAAAUCUCUUGGAAAACCUUGUAAGCAUUUCUUCUUCCCUUUUUUUCUGCCAUGAUUUCUCCUCCAGGAUAGAUACUAUAUGAAACCCUCUCACAGAGGGCCAUCAUUAUGCAUUCUAAUAAACAUGUCUGAAUUUGUAAUUGGAUCAAAAGUAUCCCAAAUGUGAGAUCAUUAUCUUUUUCUUUGUAUUGCCCAUUUUCAACGUAAAGUGAAUACUUUCUAAAUAUAAGCACACCCUUUCCCAGGCAUUGUAGAUAUAGGAUAGAAUCAUUAUUUCAUUUGUUAUGUCCGUGAAGUACCCUUGGUGUUGUCUAUGUCAAACACUCAAUUUAUAGGUGGGGAAACUGAGGAGCAGAAUGUAUGUUAAUUCAUUCAUUGCUCAUUUAUUAAUUUAUAUUCAGGCAGCACAUAUUGUUGAACAUCCAUGAGCCUGGCACUGUGCUAGCCACCGGAUAUGCAAUACGGAGUAAAACGGAACAAAAGACAUGGUCCUUCUGUCUUGGAGCUUGCUUUUUAGUGUGAUAUUGAAACAGCAAUCCAAUAUUACAUAUGACAUGAUAUUCACCAAUUGUGCUAAAUGGGAAUAAUGGGAGCCAAUUGACAAGGAGGGUAUUUAGCCUAAUAGUCUGAUGUUGAAACUGAAAUCUGAAGAACUGCAGAUGUACACAUGCACAUGCAGGGGGAGGAGCUCACCAAUCAUAGGCUUGAGGCAGGAGGGAGCAUGAUGCAUUCAAGAAACAGAAGAGGUAAAGAUGCUGGUAAAGAUAAAUGGGUAAAGUAAGGAGAGAGGGGCACACGAUGAGAGGGAGAGGAGGCCAGGGGCCAAUUCCUGUAGGAUCUGUAAAGCCAUUUGAAAAUGUUUAGUUAUUUACUGAGAACAUUAAGAGCACUGGAAUAUUUGAGAACCAGAGGGAGGGGGGUUGGCUGAUAACAUGUGUAUUUUGAAAGAAGUAUGUGCUAUGGUGUAGAGAAGAGAUUGGUAGAUCUGCAGAUUGAGCAGCAGAGUGAAUGAGGCAACUGGGAAGAAUUUCUUACAGUGCCUACAAGAGAUUUUGGUCUCUUGGAGAGAACACUAGACAUAUUUGUCUUAUUUUCUUGCUAAUGCUAUUAACAUUGCUCCUUAUCAAGAAAGGCCUUGUUCUACAUGAACUUCCUGUGUGCACUGCUUUAAGCUUCCCAUUUCCCCAAAAAAGAGGGCAGAGGCUAAUGAAUAUUCCAUUUUCUGUGACUGGAGAGUUUUCGGUUUUGCGAUAUCCCAAUCUCUUUGAGCACCAUUGCUGGCCUUAAGUAGCCCAUUACAUACUUCAUGGAAGAUCUGAACAUCAGGUAGUCAGAUGACAUUGUUAUAAAGAGCAUAAAAAGACUCUAGAAGUUCUGUGAAUGACAGAGCAGUUGAGGCCACUGUUGACCCUUAACACCAAUGAUUGGAGCACCAGAGGAAUUGGCCUCUUGGAGGGAAGAUGUAACAUCACCUUCCCAGGCUGAUCUGAAGUGAAGCAAGUGCUGUUCAGCAGCACUAAUUGGAGCCUCCUUAGAAACCCACCAUGGGCAAGAUGCAGCUCAUGUGCACCUUUGGGAUACAGAGGAUUUACCACCUACACCAAAACAGGAAUAACUACUUGUUCAGAGGCUUAGCUGAAUAGUAAUAUCGUUAGCAAGAUACAUAUCUUAGAAAAGGAAAUUCACUUACAGUGACCUGGGAUCUUACUCCAUCACAUCACAGUGAUGGAGCCAGACUCACCAGUCACCGAGCUCAUCAGAAGGAGAUGCCUGUUGACUGUUUCUUCUCUAAGUGAAAUCACCAUCCUCUUGGGCUCUUUGGGAUCAUCCAAUUGCUGCUGUAGGUGACUAUACUUCACGGUAACUCAGGGUUUCCAUCCACACUGCUGUCCCACAGCCUUCUUCAUGUUUCUGGUAGGCAGAUGGGAAGACACUGAAGCAAAGCAUAGCCCACCUGUAGGAAUCCUGCAGACUCAAUGUGACUUGAGUUGAACAGAAGGAGAAAUUAUUGUUUAAUGUUGUCCAGCAAGUGAAUAGCAGGGCCAGAACCAGAAAAUAGGCCUUUCAGGGUCUUUUUCACUACUAAAUACUUUUUGGUUUCACAGGGGUAGGAUCAGUUUAUUGGCUUUCAUUGGUAUAUUUUGGGCAAGGAAAAUGAAGCAGAGAAUAAGGAAUAAUUAGAAGCCCCAAUGGUAUUUAUUUCCCCAUAUUAAGAUGGAAGUUGAAAAUUUUCCUACUAUAUGCUACAAACACAAGUUUAUUAAAGAGUUUCUCUAUUCUUUGGGCAUAGUCUAUUUUCUUCUAUGAUGUCACUAUAGUUCUUGUUUUCUGUAAAAUCUAAAGAGCUGGUGUUGCUAUUAUCUCUAGAUGGGAGCAAAACUUCAUAAAUUGUAGCAUUCUGUGCAUGCAUGGGAAAAUAGCUCUUACAAUGUUAGCCAAUUCCAUUUCUCAGUUAAAAAAUAAAGUGAAUUUUAAAGUGUAGGAUAAGUGAAUUUUUAUGUUUCACUUUUAGUUAUUGGAUUGUCUAGAUAUUGUAUUUUAGGAGGGCACUAUUCUUCCUGGAACUUAGAAAAGCAGUCAUUCAAUCACACAGUGAUUUUUAGAAUUUCUUUUAAGUGAAUAACAAUUUUAGGAUGUCAAGUUUUAGAUGUCUGGUUUCAACUUGUUUGGCUAAGCUGACAUUUAAAAUUCAGUCCCGAUGUUAUGUGAAUUGUCCUAGCUUUUUACCUCUCCUUUUUUCUUCUAUAUUGGAAACCUGUACAGAGAACACUAUCACUUAAUAAAAAAAAGAUGUUUCCUGCUUUGUUUCUUUUUAUUCAACUCAGAACUGCCUAGGGGGGGAAGAUUUCUUUCUUUCUGAAUGUGGUAAGCCACAAAAUGGAAAAUAUACACGAAAGCACUUGUGCCUCUUCUCUAUUAACCUUGGAAAAAGGUGACAGGAGUGUGUGAACAAUGCGGUUAGAUGCUUGAAUGUACUCGAUUUAUUCUUAUUAUUAAUUUAAUUUAAGGGUUUCACUUGACAAGUAACUUCCUUGAUUUGUACAUUUCAAAAUUGUUUUCCCUUUUUUCUCCAAAAUAACAAUUUGUCCUUCUGAAAUCCUCUGAAAGAUUUUAUGCCACUGUAGUUUCAAUCAUGGUGAUGAUUUCUGUGUCUGUCAUGAGUGGUUUGAUUUGCAUGUUUAUACUUAUGUCACAUAAAUCCAGAGGAUACAAUGCGGGCCCUAGUAUAUGAUUCCUUUGUACUGUUUUGGAAAAUUUUGAGGGCAGCAACUCAGAUCCCUGAAUUUGGAAUGAAAUGCUCAGGUAUAACCAAAUGUUAGAAUGGCAGAUUCUUUAUAAAUUAGAUGCUGAAAUUGGCAAAUUUUACUGGUUUCAUUUCCUUUGGGAAAUGACUGUGAUGUUUAAUUCUUGACUUUGGAAUUGUCUUUGACUACUCAGAGUGAAAUACCGCAUUUUAAAUUCUAAUCUAAGACAUUAGGGAAGCUAGACAUUUAGGAAAUCAAUAUUUGUACUUGAUAGCCAUAUGCCAUAUAUUAAAGUGCAUAUCUCACUGCACAUGUCUUAUAAAAGAUCAUUGUGUGAACGGUAUUAUACCAACUUCUCCUGAACUUUCUAAAUAUAACUGAUUAAAAUUAUUUCCUGGAGUGAUUAUUUUGGUUAUGGUCUCAACUUUUCAAAACCAAGAUGGUAGUGUAGAAGUGGUUAAUAUAUUGUGUUAGUCAACUAUCUUUUUUAUGGACGUGGGUUGUUAUAAACUACCAUCCUAGAAAUAGAUACACACACAGACAGACACACAAACACAUACACAAUAUCAGAGAGAAUUUUCAGGUGCACUCUUUGAGAUUGGUGAUAGAAAAUCUGAGAUUAGGACCCACAAAUUACUAGGACACUUGGUUUUAUAUCAAAGGUCAAUGAAGAGUCAUGAAGUCAACACCUCAGUGAAAUGUCCUUAAGUAAAGGCAUAAUGGAAGUGCAGCCAUAUUAAAUAUGUAUUUUUCCCAAAACUGAUCAGUCUUGCAUAUGACCAGGUGAGGCAAGAAAACCCACCCUUGACUGGACAGUAAUUCACUUAUGUUUUCCUAACUUCAGUGGAUCUAUGCCAUACUGAAUACCUGCAUAAGAUUGCCUUAUUGCCUUGCACAAGUGUAUAAUCAGGUCAGCCUUUAUCUAACCUGUAUAGUACUCCAUCAUGGUUUUUUUCCCUUUUUGUUCUUUCAAAUAUGUUGACUCUUCUUGAUACUUCUGAAGCCACAGCUCUUUCCCUAUCAUUACCAGCUAAGUUUUAAUAACUUAUACUCUAAACUGUUACCUCUCUGAAUUCUCACUAUAAUUCCAUGGCAUUAUCAUUGACAUUUUAUAUAAUAAGGUUACCAAUAUUUAGAAGUAUCAUUUUAGUCACACUGCUGAUUAUACUAAAGCCAAGAAUUGACUCAGGUCUGGAUUAUUCCAUGCACUGGACUGUGAUGUAUGUGUAUUAUACAAAAUGUCAACCUUGAAAGUAUCAUUUAGUAGAUAUUUUGGGGUCUCUACAGAAGGUUACAGAAACUUCUUUAAGUAAACUAACUCAACUUUUAAAAAUAAUUAAAUGUAAUUUUGGUGAAGCAGUUAUCAAUUUAAAUUGGCUUAAAGUGAGCAUACAUCUUCAAUAAGCCUGGAAUGGAGGACAAUAUCCCAUUAAUUUGGGGGUCUGUCUUACACACUUGACCUUAUCCUUUAGCUUCAGCUUUGUAUAAAGUAUGCAUUUGUCACUAUAAUCCAUUUCUGCCAGGCACAAGUGUCUUUCUCCACCCAAAUGCAAUGCAAUACAAUCCAAUUCAAUCCAAGACAAACCCCCUCCAAUUAGUCUCUGGAGACUGUGGUUUCUAUUUAGACUCUGGAUAGACUUUGUACUUUUGCAGAUGGUGGCCACACAUAAGCUGUGGGUUUAUCUUGAAGACACAUAGAGACCCAUUUCUAGGUUCAAAGUUGCCUCUGGGAUGGAUUCACAUUCCCCAUGGCAUGCCUCUCUGUGCACUGGCUGGUAGGAGGGAAGCAUAUGUUGACAUAAGUUCUCACUUUUUUUCAAAUUAGGACUUCACUCUAAACAACCACAGGGCUGAGGAAAGUCAUUGUUUUGCCUAUUGCAUAGUCUCUUUCCAAAGAAAGUACUGGUCCACCUUUAGCUCUUGUCUUGAUGUCUUUUUCGGGGAUUAUUUCUGCUCUUUGUGAAAUUGGUACUUUAGUUUAAGUUCAGAGGAGAUUACUACUGGAAACACCUGUGAUUGCCCCCCAAGUUUUAAAUAUCAAUUUAAAAGCCAAAGCAUUCACUAAAUGAAAGAAUUCUUUGAAUUUCUACAGAGUAGUACCAAAUCCCAUCAGGGCAACAUUGAAAUUGAAAUACCUUUCAAUAUGUGCAUCCUUUGGAAAAGUGUGGCUUAAAGAACAAAGUUCUUGUUAGCUUGACCUCAUUGGAUUCAUAUUAUAGAAUCUCCAAAGUAUGAUAAAUGUAUAGGUAUCUCUUAAUAAGCCAUAAUACGAUCCAUAGAAAUAAUCAGAGUUGAUGUAAGAAAAAAUGGGAUGGCAAAGUUAUUUAGCAUCCUUGCAUGGAGUUGAGGAAAGGGAAAGACAGAUUUUUUUCUUUCUUAAGUUUCUGGAAAAAAAAAUAAAAGGCAGGACAUGAUAUUUGUGGUUACUGGUCUUUCCUCAGUUUUAAGAACAACAACAAACAAAAAUCAAACAACAACAACAAAAACAUGUUUACAGGACUUUGCCAAGCAAAGAUAAUAUGACAAAAGGGUUGGCAAUCCUGGUGAAAUUUUUUUUAAAAAAAUGGAGUUUUGUCAGAUAGUGAAUGGAGUCUAAUUAUAUUCAGGGGCAGGUUAAAGUAAUCAGAAAGCAAGGAACACAAUUAUGAGAUAGGCUUGAUAACAGAUGGCCCAAUAAAAUACAAAAAUAGGAAGAUAAAAAUAGAAUGCUUUUAUAUAAAUUCUUGAAGAGUUUAAGAAUAUUUGAGAUAAAAACUUAGAAGAAAAAGUACUAAAAAUAAAUUUGAUGAGAUAUAUAUUCUUAAAGGAAAAUAAAAGGCUUAUUUUGUGUAAUGAGUGGAGAAAUACCAGGUUUUUCUCUGAUUUUCACCAUUUUAUAAGUGCUUUGGGAUUAUAGAGUUUUUAUAAUUGGGGACAUACUUUUAUGAAAAAUGAACCCCAAAUAAAAUCAAUCCUGUUUGUUCCAGCUAUUCCUUUUCUUUUGCUUCUUUUCCUAAAGGACAUUCCUCAAAGCCAUUUGAAAAUUAAGAUAUGAGAGUUAGAAUUUUUUGUUGUUGGUAAAGUUAGUGGUUUGUGGAAAAACCUCCUUCUGGGUUAUUGGCAUUGUUUGACUAAGAUUUCUGAAUGCACUUUGUGUACAAAGGUCUACUCAACUGUUACUACAGAAACUACACCCAACUCACUGGUUCAAAUGUAUGUCAAAUGUAUGUAUGAUGCUCAGUGCUGACAGGAGUUUAGAAUUAAAGUCAACUGUUCUCUGUGAUAAAAUGAUACUUUGAGAAAGACUCAAGGAAGGAGUGCUUGUGAGUAACUGCAGGUUUUCCUUCUGUCUUCCUGUGCUCUUAGCUCCAUGUUCUUAUUCUCCUUCUAUAAAGAAAGGCACACAUAUGCAUUUUGGGGGAGGUUCUGUGGUGUGACAGAUAUCAAAGGGCUUAGACUCAACCCAACUCUGGUACUCAGUUUCUCAUGCUUUCAGAGUCGUUGAGAAGGAUUUUAUAAAAUCCGGUGCCCUGCCAUAGUCCAGCUUGCCCAUGAGACACCCCCUGCAAGGUCAGCCAUUUCCACAGCAUUGAAGUUUGCUCAGUGAUUCCUGGUUCCCUGGAUUCUCAUUGCUGAAGAGAAGGCCACUCAACACCACAUCAGACAGGGACCCUCCCAAGAAGGCAAGAAAGGUGUUCAGAGUCAGCUCUAGAUUGUCAACAUUUUGCUUUUUCUGAUCCUGAAAUUUUCAUUCAAAAAUAGCGGUUCUUAUUUAAAAAUCAAAACAAACUAAAAUGCCCACCAAAACCUCAAAAUUCUUCUUAUUAUGACUUUUAUAAUCUCAAUUGUAUAUUAUAACUUUUUCCCCUUUCCACACAAAUCCAAUUUCUCCUUCAAAAUACUUUUUUUAAAAGAGAGAGAGAGAGAGAGAGAGAGAGAGAGAGAGAGAGAGAGAAUAUCUUUUUUGUAGAUGGACACAACACAAUGCCUUUAUUUUUAUGUGGUGCUGAGAAUCCAACCCAGGUUGCACCCAUUCUAGGCAAGCACUCUACCGCUGAGCCACAAUCCCAGCCCCUCAAAAUACUUUUUAAAAAAUAUCAAAAUCAACUUACUAUGUAAUUCUUUUAGCUCAGGAUAAAUAGUGAUUAGUGGUUUUUCCUCUGAAAAAUGAGUCACUUUUACUGUGAGUAGUUUGACAUCAGAGAGGGGAAGAUAUGUGAAUUCAGAGGAUAAUGCUGCUUUAUUUCACUUUGGCCCUGUUUGCAAAGCAAUAUCCAGGGCAGUCUUGCCCAGCCAAUGUUAAUCAUUGACCUUUAGGACCCUGGGGAGCGGAGCAGAUCUCUCUCCCUCCACCUCAUGAUUGAAUCAUCUUAAAAGCCCAUAUGCAUGGUCACAAUGUCCAAUACUGUAGAUGCUCAUUCACUAGCUCCAAGUGAUUACACUUCAAGAGAUUCUUAGAUCCAUGGUGAUGGGGAAUGAACUUUUUAAUUACAUGUCUUUUGAUUUCUAUCACCAGGAACUAAAUGAAUGGGGAAUUAAUUCACAAAGUUUGUUAUGCAUUUUCCUAUUUAAAAGAGGACCCUUUCCCACAACCUUUCUACUUUGUCCUUUUACCCCAACGGCUCAAUAAUGAAAUACCCUCUUUCUUAUUCCAACUACAUUGAAAACAUUCAGUAGACUUAGCACCCUCUGGAAUUCUGGCAAUAACUGCUGUACAGUAGUCCUGCUUCAAAAUUAGGUCCAGAAUAAAUAAGAAAUUUUUUUUGUAUAUAUUUUAGUCAUUUUCCUGGUGACCUCUGUAAGUUUUCAAUAUUGCCCAAGAGUUAUUUUGAAAUAGCUUAUAGUAAUCGUUUCUUAGGCAAAAUAUUUUCUAUUUGGUGAGAAAUAGUGAUACAUGAAGUAGAAAGGCACAAGUGUUCUCUUCAUAAACCAAGUUUUUAUCUGCACUUGAAAAAUCAACCAAUAAGAUGCAGGCUGAGGGUAAUUGGGAAUGCAUAGUGGACAAGCUCAAUCUUUUCAGGCUUUUGGUGUAAUGUAAGGUAAAACAUUGAAACGGAAAUGUGAGUUUAUUCUGGUAGCAGCUAAUUAAUAUCAAAGCAUUUUGAAAACCAUGCUCCAUAAACACCGGGUAAUAAGGAACAAAGUUAGUACUUCUCAUUGGUUGUGCAUUUUCAAAUAGUCCAAGUGUCCCUAGCACCAAAAAAUAAAGAACUGUUUCAGCAAGGCCAUUCAUUAGUCUAUAAAUCAAAAGAUGGUCUUUGAGUUUUUUCUAUCCUCAGGCAAAGACAUAUUUGGCUUUAUAUAAAGACUUAAGCAUAAUUUUGAAUUUCUAGAAACUGAUCAAGUCAUAAUAAACUUUAAAAAUUAUUAUUAGUAUUUUGAUUUUUGGAACCAGAAAAUUAUUACAUAUAUUAAAGCCUAGUAAAUGGUGCAGCUCUGGCUCACCUCAAUUAUACAGUAUAAAUAUUUGAAUUAGAGGCAGUAAGGAAGUUUUGGGAGCUAUAGGAGUAGAAUCAGGCAUAGGAGAGAUACCUGUAAGAUAGAGGUUGAGGUGGGAUUUACAGUUUUGCAAAUCAUGGAGGUAAUGAAAAUGGGGAUUAAAAACAGGAGUAGGGGCAUUGGAGGGAAUUUCAUGGGAAGAAAAACUGAGUAGAACCUCUAGAAUGCUUAUAGUUCCUUGGAAAAAUGGGUCUGAAUACCCACAAAAGACCAGCAUGUCCUCUUACAUGCUUCUCACUACUUGGCUGAGAAGCAGGGAGACAGAACAGUAUGAUGUUUGUGAAUUGUUGAUGAGGAAAUUAGUCUAGUGUGCUGAGGGGUUUGUGUGUUUUGAAACAUGCCCGAAGUGGCAGAAUAUUACUGAUGUUUGAAACGCUAUCAUAGUCUAUAUUUGUUAAAAUACUCAUUUCAAUUUUUAAAUCAUAUUCCUUUAAUAAAAGCAUGCUUGCUUGUUAAAACACAGCUCUUUGCUUGUAAUUUUGCUUGUUCCUAUACUCCUUGAUCCAUCAAUUAAAAUGUGAUUUCCUACUGGAGUCUUUGAUAAAUAUGCAAGGCUGUUUUCAUUGCAUGAGGAAGCUGAAAGAGCCCUUGGUUGGUCAUCUAGUUUAAUUGAAUCAUGCCUGUGUUUCUGGCACAGUUUUCAUUUUAUGAAAGAAGCACACAACUUCCCAUGUUUUGUAUUUCUGCAAAUCCAGGUGAGCAAAUAUGUCCUUAGAGUCUAGUCCAGGAUUUAACUAGCAUGAUAUUUGUUUAAGAAAUACAUGUGAUAAAUGAGUCAAUUGGCAUGUUCUCUCUUUAUGUUAAUGCUAACAUUUAAAGGAAUGGGUGAAUCAGUGUUUUUAUCUGCAUCUCUUGACUUUUGAGAAAUAAGAAGACUUGAGUAAUAGUGUUUUAUAGCAAAAAUGUCUUCUCAUUGAUUUUACUUAAGUCACUCCCAGGUGACUCAUUGGGGAACAAAAAGGGAAAUCCUUUGUGAUGAAUCAGAUGCCAUUCUGAGAUAUAGGUCUUUUUAGACUUUUUUCUGUUUAUUUCAAAUCAGCACUGCCCUUUUAGAUCAAUACCAAGCGAAUAACAGCCAAAAAUUGGCUCACAUAAAAGUGACAGGGUAUUGCAGAGUUCUAGUUACUGUUUUCAUGGUUGCUAGCACCCUUCUCCAGGAAAACAGAUUGGCCAUUAGACACCUACAUGAUAUCCUUGAAGAGUAAAUGGAAUUGGGAUCUAUAGUCUACUUUACAGAGAGGCUAUGCAUAGGGAGACCUCCAGUGUCUGGGAUUAGAGCUCUUGGGACACCCUUGUGCCCAUUCUCCACCAUUCUUUAAGUGAUGGAAUUUAUAAAAACAAGUCUGGAGCCAGAAGGCAUGGAGUCUGUCUGCCUCAGCCUGGGCAACUGUAUUUUAAGAAUUAAGUUCUUUCAAAUUUUCUUCUUAGGAAAACUGUUGUCUUUCUCCAGAUUGGGAAGAGACAGCAAUUAAUAAAGAAAUAAUAUGUCCUCCUCUAUGAAGAGAGGUCCCUUCAUAAUGAAUUUCUCUUAGACCACAAUGAAUACCUGUAAAAGAUCCAGGCUGUUGGCUUGUACUUUGUAACUUAGGAACUGAAAAGGACUCUUCUUGAUGAAUUAUUGAAGGCUAAACAAGGUGAAAAACAGGUCUUCCUGAGACCAGUGUGAAGUGAAGUGGUAAUGAUGCCUGAGGGUUCUCUUUUCCUCCUGCCUGCUCCAUGAUCAUGUUGCCAGCAUGGGGCACCUGCAGGGCGAGAUUUAGACCCAAACCAGAUGUUGGUAUGAACUGAUUUUUGGAUUUGUUUCUGUGGAAAUUUCUGAUCCUUUCUGAGAUAUUUGGAGAGUGAUCCCUGUCCUUCCUUUGUUUCAGUUCUUCUUUCUUUCUCUACAUUUUAAUCUGAGGGCAAGUAACUCACAUCUACAAGGAAAUUCCCAGGGAGGAACUGGAGAUAAGUAUGUCUUUUUCAAUACAAUUUUCUUAGAAGAAAUUUCUGGGCUUCCAGGAGAAACAGAUGGUUGUUCAGCUAUUGUUAGAGACCUAGGUUUGUGUUUUGGAUGUCUGUCACUAGUGAUAGUUGGUGUUUUUGUCAGUUUUGCAUCACUGUGACCAACACCCAAGGAGAACAAUUUAGAGGAGGAAAAGUUUAUUUUGGCUCACAGUUUCAGAGGCUUAGUUCAAGGUCAGUAGACUCCAUUGCAAUGGGCCCUAGGUGAGGCAGAACAUCUGGAGAAAGGCAGAAGUAUGUUUUAGAGGAGGAAAGCAGCUCAGGACUUACUAAACAGGAAUCUAAGAGAGAGUUCCAAUAACCAGGGACAAAAUAUAAACCCAAAGGCAAGCCCCUAGUGACCUACUUUCUCCAGCCACACCCUACUUGCUUAUAGUGACCACCCAGUUAAUUCACUGAUUAGUUUUUAACUCUCAUAAUCUAUUAAUUUUACCUCUGAACAUUCUUGUCUCACACUUGCGCUUUUGGGGGACACCUCAUACUAAACCCUAAUAGUUGUGGUCAGAUUCAGGCCUGCUAGAGGAAGGGGUAGACUUUCUGGUUACUCUGUCUUUGUAAACAAAGUCAACCAAAAUUAAACCUUGGGGAAAAGAAGAAUUGAUCCCAGAGGCCAUCUGGAGGUAGAGCCAAUUGAAAAUCACUUUGUUCAUAUGAGCACUUUUAAGAUUUUUCAACAAUUUAUACCUAUUGCUUAAGAGCAAAGAGUUUAUAGUGGAAUGGGCAUGGGUUAGGAACUUACCACUACUUGUUAAGUUUAUUCAGUAUUGCUGAACCUCAGUUUUCCCAUCUAAAAAUAUGAAGGCACUAAUUAUAAUUAGUACAUUAGAUAUUAUAAACAUUCAACGAGGUAACUAAUAUUGGUUUGCGGCUGAAAACCUAUUCCAAAGCUUUCUGCUGACCUUAGAAACAAGCAAAAUAUACUAAUUAAUUUUUUUUUAUGUGUUUGAGCCUCUUUGAUUUUUCCAUUUAGAAUAGUCAAUAUUUUACUUGUAGUCCCGAGUUGAAAUUUGAUGGUUAAAAUGGAGAUAAAUGAGUAAAUGGGAGAAUAAAUGUAAAUGGUGCCAUAAUUGUCUUAGGUAUGGAUUAAAUUCACAGCAGAACUGUUGGCUUGAGGUAAUUAAAAAAGUAUUUAAGAGUUAGGAAUUUUUUUUAUCUUGUAAAUAUCACUCAGUGGGUUGAUUUAAUUAUAAAAACAGAAGUUUUGCAAUCAGCAUUAUCUCCCCCCAUAAUUUACUUCUGUUGGCAUUUUAAAGAAGGGCACCAAGUUUAUCCUGCUGGACAAUUACCAUAGAACUAGCCAGAGUUGGAAAGGAAAGUAGUUCUGACAUUUGGUUAAACAUACAUACAUAAAGACAAUGGCCAUGGGCAUCCAUUAUAAAAUAGAAGUCUAGGCAUACUUUCAUGGUCUGACACUGCUCAUUUUCCACACAUUGAUGCUCUUGUAAUUUAAAAUGGUCAGGAGAAGGAAAGAGUAAAAAGGAAAUAAUAGCUGACUCUCCGAAUCCCAUAAAAAAAUGAAGCUUAGAUCUCCGAAUGAUUGUUGGUGACAAGAACACCAGUAAGAGUAUAGCUUUAAAGAUGCACCAUUAUCUUUAAUUACUUGCUUAAUAUAAAAAUAUUUUUUGUGGAAAAGAGAAGGCAUCCAUUAAAAAUUAUGGCCUUUUAAUAGAUCUAAGCAAGUUAAAUCUUUUUUAAGCCAUUUAAACUUCAAAGAUACCAGCAAAAAAAUUUUUAUUGAUUGUUUAGUGUUAUAAUAAGCAAUGUAUUUUCUGUCAUAUUUAUGACUUGGUACAGGAUUCAGAGAUAUAUACAUCUCAGGGAUAGGAAGGACUUUAAAAGCCAUCUAUUUCAAUAGUGUAUGUGCAAUGUGUUUUUAUGUUUUCUAUUCUGUGUAAAUUAGAAUGCCAUACCAGGCUUCUUCUUUUGUUCUCUCUCUCUCUCUCUCUCUCUCUCUCUCUCUCUCUCUCUCUCUCUCUCUCUCUCUCUUUCUCCAUAUACACAUACAAUUUCUAUAUCCAUUAUAUUGUAUUUGCUACAAAAUUUUACUACUGUAAAGCAUUAUAGAAGUUUACACUUGAGGUUUAUUUUCUGCCAUAUGACUUGGUCAUGUAUUUUAUACCAAAUCUUUGAUUAGGAAUAGACAUCCAAUUAGAGCAGUGGUUUUGUACAUAUUUCAGAAUUUCAUUUUAUUGCCACAGUGAUUUGCAACAGGCAGGGAUGCCAGAUGCCUUGCCAAUGCACUUGACAAUCUUGCUCAAAAAAGAAUCAUACUGCUUCUCAUAAAAUAUUUGAAUGACUCAUCGGAUUUGUAUGUAAGUGUGUUUAUAAUUGUCUGAGUUCAGAUUUAAUUUCAUUUUACUUAUAAGCACAAAGUGUGUUUUCCACAGUUCUAGUAUACUCUGAAUUUUCCAGGAAGACAACUCAUGUGAAUUGACAGUGUUUUGCUUUAGUUUGCUAAGAACUUCUCCAAGAGAUGCUCAGCAUUUGAGAAAAUGACAUGCCCAAAGGCAGCACUGUUUGUGGCAUUUAAGUUAAGAAUACAAAACAGACAUUCAUUGUGCAUGCAAGUUGUGCUGGUGCAUUUCCAUGACUCUAAUUGUGGGUUCAAGCAUCUGGAUACUUUGAUAUGUCCUUUAAUAUGGUUUUGAAAUGGUUUUUAUAUUGAAAAGUAUAUACUUUUACUUGUUAUGAAUAUUCUUUUAUCUCUUUUAUUAUUAAACUUAUUGACCUUAGAUAUUAUGUUGAUUUUUAAAUUAUGUAUAUAGAUAGGUUGUAUUUCCCAUAAAUUUUAAUCCAUAGAUGAUAUAUAACUUGGUAUGACUUAUAAUAGUUAAAAGGGCACUAACAAGACAUAGUAAUAAAAUGAGGAUUUGUGUUUGAUACAGCUGAGAAGAUCUGAUAUAGAAGGUGGUCCUCUGUGGGGUCUCACUAUACCUUCUAACACAAUUAGAAUUAUGGGCAAUGCAUUACUUCUGUGUCAUUGUGCAGUAGUAUUACCACAAACUUAGUGGCACAUGUGUCAUCUCACAGUGUCUUGGGUCAGGGUUUAGCUGGGAUCUCUGAAAGGCUGCAGUCAAGGCAUGACAAGGGCUACAGUCUAAUCUGUAAGUUAGACUGUGGAAGAAUCUGCUUCGUGCCCAAUGGGGUCUUGUCAGAAUGUCCUUCCCUGAGACUGUUGGACUUUGGACCUCAGUUCUUACUAUUUGCUGUCUGUAGGCCCUGGGAACCUCUCCAAUAUGGCCACUUGCUUCAGUGUAUCCACUAAGGGAGACAGUCUGUAAGCAGGACAGACAUUGAAAUCUUAUGGAAGACAAUCACUCAAUUAACAUCAGUAUUAUUGUAUUCCAUUGGUGAGAAUCAAGUUACAGAUCCUAGCCCUACUCACAGGCAGGGUUUUCCCCAAAGGCAUAACUCUGAGAAUACAGGGAUAACUGGGGAACAUUAAAAGGGUCUGUUUAACAUAGCCAGCUUCCAGUGGCAGUGUUGGGUAGAGGGGAUAAACUCUUUGGAUGUAAGUGGUGGCUAAUAGAUUUUAUAGUGUUAAUUUUUAUAGUAUUAUAGUGUAAUUCUAAGGUUAUUUUUCCUGUCAUUUUGAAGCCCAUUAUACUCAGGGAAGAGGGAAAACUAGCCUACUAGAACAGAAUCUGCUCACUUCUUAGAUAACAACGUCCUUGCUAAUUUCAGGUGUGUAUAUAUGAUGGGGCUUUCUAUGGUGUUAGAGUACAGUGACACAGAAGUAAAUUUUCUUAAUUUCAUGCAUCUCAACGUUUUUUUCAUCCAGAUGACCCAGCUAGUUCCUGGGUUGUUUAAAGUUUGAGCCAGGGUCAGAUCUGGAAGAGGGAGAGAACAUUUUAAAAGCCCAGUAUAGCCACUAUGUAAGUAUUUAUUGAAUAUCUCAUGUGCUUGUCAUUGUUAUAUAUACAGGCAGAGGCUGAGAUUCUGCUGCCACAAAGUUUAUGGUAUAUACUGGAAUACAUACAUGUUGAGCUAAUCUAAGGUCUGAAGUCACUAUAUUAGCCUUUGGGGGUCUUCUGUAAGAAGGGUGGAAUAGUCUAUGUGGGAAAAAUAUGGGUAGAACACAUAUUCUUUUGGAAGAACCCAGCUAUUGAUUAAAAUUAUACUUCUGCUCUGUGAUGUUAGCUUACAAAUACUACUGAUUCUUUAUUUCUGCAAGCAAAAAACUGGGUCUAACAUCUUUACCUUACAGAUUUUUUUUGUGAUGAUAUUAAAAGCAUCCAGUGCAUAUGGGUUUCAAUGUGAAAUCCCUUUAUUCUUUCUCACCCUUCAAUAAAGCGGACCAUUAUAAAUUAACUAUGCUAUUUUGCUACUCAACCUGCUCCACAAAGUUAUAUAAAAGUAAAAAAUGCCAAAUAUUUAAAUAAUCACAUGGAAUACAAUCUCUUCAGUUAUGUAUGAUUCAUCUUUAUUGUUGUCAUUCUAAGGACUCACAAUCAUUCUCAAGAGUUUCUUCUUUAUUACUUUACAAUGGUAGCACAUCCUAAUUGCCCAGUGACACAAAAGACUUAAAUGACUCAAAGGAGUAUUUCUGCUUGAUAGUAUUAAUAAUACUAUCUUUGAAAAUACAUGAAUAUACUUAGCCAUUUUGAACUAAUCUAAGAUAUGAAGUCACAAAGAUCAUGCUGGUGGAAGGAUGGGCGGUGAGUGGAGUCCACAAACAUGUAUCAACUUAGAAAAUUCACUGACUUAUUUUUAAUGCUAAUUCAUUCAUUCAAAACACUUCUAGGUUUCUGUUCCAGGUUCUGAGUACUGGGAGAAUACUUAAAGAUUAUGCAUGUAAUGUUUGAUAAAUCCAGAUGAUAAAUUUCUCUGGGGAAGUGUGACUGUUUUUAGAGGUCAUCCUUUUAUCUGAAGAAAAAGCAGAGGAGCCCAAUUAAGUAAUUUUAUUCAUUAGAACUUGUGCAAUAAUUUCUACUUUUUCUUUCAGUAGGCAGUGAGGAAAGUAGGUUAAUAUGAAAUGAAAUAUUCUUAUAUCCUGCUGUUCGGUAGGUCAGAGGGUAUUGUAAACGUCACUUAACAUCUCUGUUGUUUUGAAAUUCCCAUUUUCCAUGACAUAAAUUCUUUGAUAUAAAGAAAUUCUAUUCAUUACAGGAAUGCUUUACAAUUUAAACUUGUAUUUAAAUGCCUUACAAGUUAUUUUUGACUAUAGGGACUCUGUAGAAUUUGUGAUUCAGUAUUUCUUGGCAUCUUUGUUGGGUGUGUAUUUAAUUUGUCUCUAUGCCUGUCUCUCUUGUUAGCUUAUGGUCCCUUGAGAGAGAGGUCCUCAGUUUGUCAUUUACCAGUUGAUCAGUAAGUGAUUUCUUAGUUAUUACUUAGAUUUUGAGAAUUAAAAGACUCCUUUUUCCUAUUGAUACCUGACAGAUUUUUACAUUCACAUAGUAAUAAUAUAUCAUCUUGGUUUUUGUUUCUUUGAAAUAUGAGGAAUGCUUUCCUGCAAAUUUCAAGGGCAGCCCAUUUGGCCCUAGCAAUUAUUUCUUUUGAGAUCUUGUGCAAAAUAAACUUCAGUAUUUUGAUACCUUUUGGGCCUUUAAGGGAGUAAUACAUAAAGUAAGCUACAAGUCAAAGAAAUUGUGAAAACUCUCUUUAGGAAUAAAUGUGGUAGUUAUAGUUCUUGAAGUGUUCUAACCAAAGAGCCAACAAUCAUCCCUAAUCUCUGAUAGAGAAAGCAGCUCCCAGAGGGAAGCUUAUGUGUGCCACUGCAGCCUGACCCAGAGCCAGGGCUCUACCUGAGCUUCGGUUCCCACGACACCUUAAUGCGCUUUCCUGUUUUCCCACCUCCAAGCCAGUGAUCACUCCCUUCUUUCUGCCUAUACUUCCUGUCCUAAUUGCAUUAAGUUAGUUAUCUGUGAAGUAUACCUGAAAAUAUCAAGAACACCUUAAGCUCAUCUGAAGCACCUAGCAUAUGGGGGUAGUCAUGUAUUUAUUUUAUAUUUUCCCAAUUUAUGACUUACUUAUUUAAUUCUUUAUCAUUUCUCAUGGAAUGCAUAGAUUGGCCAUUACAUUUACUCAGUUUUGUGUGUAUUUGGGAUAAUGCAGUUGACAUUUUUUUCUUCCAUUGUCUUAGGAAGUCAAUGAUACCAUUGAAGAGAACCAAAAAGAAGACAAGACUGAGGACUGUAGCAGGAAUUGCUAAAAGGAAGGAAAUAGAGUAUAAAUGAGAAAUGGGGCUUUUAUGAAGUAAUUUUAGAAUAACUAUACCUUUGUGAAGUGUGCCACUUUACCACCUUAUUUACCAAAGCUUGGAGGAUAUGGAGUUUUUUGGUGAUCUAAUCUCCAAGUAAAUAAGGAACAAAUAAAAAGAAAUUAUGUCUUUCUUUCUAAAAUAUGUUGUCAGCAACUGAAUUUAAUGCAACCAAUAGAUGCAGAUUCUUGCAGCACAGUGUGAUUUUGAUAAGCUCCAACUAAGUAUCAAGUCAGAAAUGGACAUCACAUGCUAUGAAGUUAUCCAUUCUAAACAAAUGAAUUUAAGAUAAUUGGCUUCUAAAUAUUUUUAGGUAUCUCAGAAGGUAGAGUUGUGGGAAGAACAAUGCAGUAAUUGAAUGGAUUCUGAAGAAUAUGAUAGUAGAAAAAUAAUAUGGAAUGUAAGGACAUAAGAUCCCAUUGUUUAUAAAAUAGAUUUAGAUACAGAGGAGAUCAUGGUGUGGAAAACCUUCAGAACCACUGCAUAAUAAAAAAUCCUCACAGCCAAAUUUUAAGCGAUUUUUUUUGUUAUAAAGAGAGUUGACUUAAUAAAUUCCUGCUGAGAAUUUGAUUUAUUCAAUUAAACAUCCAUAUUCAUUUUGAGAGAAAAGAUGAUGCCCACAGGUUCACCCUACAUUGGCAAAUAUGUAUUAUGAAUAGGUAAGGACAGAAGUGCCAAUAAGGAGCAGGAGACCAUUUUUAUCAUCAGCAUCCAGAGUCAUGCCUAUCAGCAGAGUCACCUGGGUAGUCAUGCUCUGACCUUUGCAAGUCCCAGGAAAACUCAAGUCUUUCUUAUGCCACUCUGCUUUGUAGUUGAAACAUAUUAAAUAAAUUUACCAAACAUAUUUCCUAGUUUUUGUUCCCAAACUGACAUCAAAUUCCUGGGCUCAAGUGAUUCUCUUGCUUCAGUCUCCUGAGUAGCUGAAACAACAGGUGUGUGCCAUUCUGCUCUGGAUCCUACAAAGCAGAUUUUCAAUACGCCUUUAUAUUAUUCAGUGUUCUUGAAUUUCUGAGAUGAUAAAUUAGGGCUAAUUUGUUAAGAGUAGAAAGUCAUACCCACAGUAUCAUCUGGUUGAGCUGGACUUGGAGCAUAUACCAAUAGAGAGGAUAUACCUAGAAACUUGACUGGUUAUUUGAAAUAAUAAACAUAGUUUCAUUAGUAAAUGUAAUUUUUUUGGCUUGGGAGAUGAGUAAUAAUUAGUGAGAAAGUAAAUAUCAAAUAUUCAUUUAUAUUCCUCAGGAAGGCAGAAUAUUAAAAUUUUUUCCAAGUCUGGACUUAAUUGAACAGCUGUGCCAACCUUAAUUUAGCAUCACUUGGGGACUACCAAAAAUAAUAGUGUGGAAGAAUAUUUUAAGGUUUUGAUUUUGUGGCAGAAGAAAAAUAUUCUCAUUACUAAUGGUAUGGAAAAUGUAGAAACUUAGAGUGAAGUAAAUAACUACCCACUAUUUAAUCUCCAGAGAUGAUCAUUGACAACAAUUUACUAUAUUUUCUUCCAGCUUUAUUGCUUACAUAAUUAAAUAUAGGUAUUUAUGUCUUAAAUAUAUGUGAAAUAAUUUUUUGUGUGAUUACAAAAUAAAUUCAAGUUCAAUUUUUGAGAAGCGUAAGGAAACUAUGAGAAAUGCAUAGAACAUUAGAUUUCUAGAAAACAGUAGAAACAUUUGAAGCUACUGACAAUUGAGCUUCAUAAAUGAGUAAGAACAUCAGCUCCAGCCGUAAAUUAAUUGGAUUCCUUUGAAUGUGUGUUACAUGUGUAUCCCACAACUAACUCUGGAGUCAUCUUUUAAAGAGAGGCCUCAGAUAUAUUCUGAGUGGGAGCAGCAUUCUAAUAGGUGGUUGGUGUGAAAUAGGCAUCAUCAAUGACUUGCAUGUCUGCUCUGGGCCACUGUUCUUGGCUCUGGAAAGCCAAUGCAAUGAGAAACCUAUCACCAAGCUUUUGGCUCUUCUUGUUGGAAGAAGACUGUUCACCCUAAACAAAAAACUCAGACCUCAGUGGGCUUUUCUUUCUGCUGUGGAUUCCAUGGAGAUAUUCUGGGUCUAGUGAAUCACAGUCCCACCUCUUGGAUUUUCAUUCUCUCUGACUCAUUUCUGCACAAUAGUUUGCCUCUUUUCCUAUCAUGGAAAUCACUUAGGAGAGACAUCCAUAUUUUGUUGGGUUUAAACCUGCUUAGGAAAGAAAAGUUAAUCAGCAAACAGAUUUCUUUGGUGUGUUCCAUAUAAUUUUAGGAGGACUCCUGUUGGCUACUUUUAUCUGUAACUCCUGUUACAGAGAAGGCUGAAAGUAAGCCUCCAGAUGAGUGAGAUAGCAGACCAUUUUCCCAUGAUACAGCCCCACAAUUUGUGAGACAAAAUUAAUGACAAUCAUCCACAGGAGAUAAGACAAAGACAGACUUAAUGUAAAGCAUUUUAGAAGGUUUCAGGUCUUCAUGGAAUGUUGGGGAGCAGGAGGGAGAGACAAUGCAGCCCUAUAUAAUGAAUACAUUAGAUAAUUUAAAUUUUCAAUUAUCAUUAUUUGGAUUUUAUUCCCCAACUUGGGGAUACAUAUUUAGGGGUGGUGUGAAUAUUAGGUAGAGUGGAAAUCAUUGAACCCUUAGUUGAAAGCUACCCCAGUUUCUGGCUUGCCCUCUAAUUAUACAUGUAGAAAAGAUCACUACCAGCAGUGCUAGCAAUAAGGACAGAGAUGUUUGAGACAAAAUUAAGAGGGUAGCCCAGAAAUUGGAGCAGUCCUAAGUUGAAUCUUCAAAAUGAUUAAGUUCUAGAAAAUAUGAAUUCUGAGACGUUAGGGCUUUUGGGUCAUGUUAAUGAUGGGAGUCAAAUAUGUGAAAGAUUGUUAUUGGGAGGAUGCUGACCAUUUUCUCUCAACUAUACUGGGGAUAGAAAUAGAUAUAGAUAUAAAAUAGCAGUGUAUGGAAUUUAGAUUAGAUAAAGAAAGUAUGUUCUGAUAAUCACACUUGUUAAAUGUUAGAAUAUAUAUCCCAAGUAGGUUGUCAAAUCAUUCCACUGAAAUUAUUUUAAUCAUUUGUAUUUAGAUAUAUCAGGAUAAUGAACACACACAUAUAAAUAUUAGGAAAUAUAUAUUUAUGUGUAUGUUUACAUGUGCAUACAUGCACACACACAAGCUAAAAGAUAGACUGUUGACCUCAAUAGCCUUACUAAGAGUGUUCUUUUAUUAUUUUGGAACUCACAAUCAAGUGCCUUUUAGAUACUGUUGUAGAAGGCUUAAGAAUGUGAACAAUAGCCUGAAGCACUGGACGGUAUUAGUCACAAGUUUUACCCUAUGUCAAUACAGAAGGGGUUGAAGUUUGGCAGAAGAAAAGAUAAUAGGCAGUGUUAAACCUUCUUUCUUUAUUUUCCAAAUUAGGACAGUUUGGAAGUUCACCAUUUCCAAUUUUUUUUUCUUUUGUUGACUGCAAAGAACGUCAAGCCAACAGCAUGUUGCUGAGAGCAGCGAUGCAUUUCACCACACUGACAACUGUCGGCUGGGCUUUUUGAGACUCCCAGGAUUCUGAACUGUCUUCUCUUGUAUAGGCCAAAAAGAAGUGGAGCAACAUUUUCAAAGUACUGAAAAAUAACAACUGUCAAGCAAAAUAUUACAUCCAACAAAAAUCUCCUUCAGGAAUUAAGGCAAAAUAAAGAUGUUCUCAGAUUUAAAACAAAACAAAACAAACCUGAGACUGUUCUAAAAGAAUUGUUGAAGAAAUUCUUCUGACAUAAGGAACUAAACCAAAGAACAAGUUCCAUGAUAGAAAAACAGAAAUGGUAACUAUCUGAAAAAUUACAAUUAGUAUUAUUCCUCUUUUUAGUACUUUAAAAUUCAUGACAUUCAAAAAUAAAAAUCAUGGAAUUAUCUGAUGCAAGUUUCAUGGAACAUGGGGAUGUAAUUCAUAUGUCCAUUAUAGAUAAUGGAGGAAUGAGAAAGGAACCUACAUGUUUGAUGAUAGGGAAGAUUUCUACAUUCCCUGAAAAGAAAGGAUUUUAAUUCUAAAUAUAAUAUGAAAAUUAAGCACCCCCUGGAGCAACUAGCAAAUAUGUUUUAUAUGUAUACAGAGAUACAUUCAAAAACACAAUAAGUGAAUUUAAAUGUAAUACUAAAACAGCAUCCAUUAAUACAGAGUGUCUCAGAAAAAUCAAAACAGAGGAACAAAAAUCAGAAAGAAUAGAAGCAAAUAAUGGAAUGACAAAUUAAACCUAAACAUAUUAAUGAUUACAUUAAAUGUAAAUGGUCUAAAACAGCAAUUGAGAGACUGUCAAACAUCAGGCGAAUAUAUCUAAUACAACAAUCUGCUAGGCACAAGAAACUCACUUUGAAAUAAUGAUGUGUUUAUUAAGCAAAAGAAAAUUUGGGUUGCUACAUCUGUAUUAGAAUAAGUAGUUUUUAGAAUAAAGAAGAUAAGCAAUGUUAAAGGAACAAUUUACUUAGAAGACAUAACAAUAUUAAGUAGAUCUAUAACAGAGCUUCAGAUAUAUAAAAGCUGACAGAACUGAAAGAAGAAAGUUGUAUUCAUAAUUGGAAUUGAAAUAUUCAGUAGUAUUCUCUGAUGAUUUGACAGACCUAGAAAACAUAAAAUUUUUACGAUGGAGAAGAACUGAAGAAAAAAAUCAACCAAGUGAAUAUAAUUGACAUUUUUGAACAUUCUGUUCCCAAAUAAUAAAAUACACAUUCUUUUUAAUUGCACAUGGAACGUUCAUCAGUAGACAUCAUUCUAAUUCAUAAAACAAGUUUCAUAGAGUUGAAAUCACACAAAGUCUGUUCUUCAUUCAUAAUGGUAUUAAAUUGUGAAUUAGUGACAUAAAAUGCCAGGGAAAAGUUUCUAAACACAGUUUCAAAUUCAACAACGCACUUCUAAAUACUCUAUGGUCAAAGAAGAUGUAUCAAAGAAAAUAAAUGAUUUUGAACUAACAAAAAUGAAAAUAUAACAUAUCAAAUUUGUGUAAUCCUUACAAAGAAAUACUUAGAGAAAACAUACUAUGUAAUAAAUCAACUCCUCAAGUCAGUAAUCUAUAUCCACUUUAAGAACUUAAAGAGCAAGAACCCCAAAACACAAAGUAAUCAGAAGAAAAAAUAAGCUAGAGUAGAAAUCAGUAAAAUUGAAAACAAAAAAAAAAAAAAUAGAGAAAAAAAUAACAAAACCAAAAGCUGGUUCUUGGAGUAGAUCAACAAAAUUGAUAA